Camelus dromedarius (Arabian camel) is the source of this 806-nucleotide long non-coding RNA. RefSeq lists it as uncharacterized. The transcript is spliced from 3 exons. The record is from RefSeq and is a predicted model, not a curated record. Lineage: Eukaryota; Metazoa; Chordata; Mammalia; Artiodactyla; Camelidae.
GCCCGGAAGCUGCUGUACAGGCGGCCGCUCGGCAGAGGGAGCGGUUGUCUGGGAUUCUCUCCUUAGGGCUGCGGGUUCCGACUACCAAAUUAUCGCUCAUUUAGUUCGUUCCUAAACUGUGGGCUAGUCCCUGGCAGCCGUGGGGUCGCGGCUGCGUUCGCGUCACAGUCCCAUUGCCCUGGAAACGGAUGGAGCCUCAGUGGCUUUGAGAGGCCGAGAAGGCUUUGGCUCGACUCUUGGAGUUUAGGGGGUUGCACUCUCUUCGGAGCCUAUACCCGACGGAAAUAACCGCCCGGAAAACGGUGGUCGAAGUAACUGAGGACUCCUCACUUUUCGCUUUUCGUCGUGCUCUCGCCCUGAAAACACUGCUCCACCCUGGGAAUCCAAAGAUGAACCGGGCACACUCCUUGCCUUCAAGUUGCUGACAGUUUUAUGGGGACAGUGUAUGGCAUAUAAGUGACAGUACGUGACGAUCCGCUAUACAAUUUGGGUCACAAAUUCAAAUUCCCAUAGGAUGGCUCCAGGAUGUUCAAUAAGUGUUUGGAGACUUUCUGGAUGGAUUUGUCUAGGAUUAAGGUUUAGCGUUGGAAUGGAAAACAAGGCUAGACAGAGAAAAGAGAAAACAGAUUGGGAAGAACGUUAAAGAGCAAGACUUUUGCCCAUGCUUUCCCAUCACUGACUGACCCUGGUGCUUCCUGAGGCCCUGCAUGGCACAGCGGCUUGUCCCCUCCUCUUGGGAACUGUAAGUAACAAACCAUCUUUUCAAUGGCAGUUGUCUCCUGACCUGUUGGCUUCAUUAUACCAGA